CAUAAACCAAGACAGCAUCAAACCCGGUGCCGGCCAAAACACUACAAGCAAAGACUUAAAAUUUAAAGGACUUGACGGUGUUGCAAACCGACCUAGAGGAGCCUGUCCUAUAAUCGAUAACCCACGCUUCACCUCACCCCCCCUCGCCCACUCAGCCUAUAUACCGCCGUCGAAAGCCCGCCUCUUGAGAGUCCAACAGCGAGCAGAAUAGCCAAACCACUAAAACGUCAGGUCAAGGUGUAGCUAAUGGGGCGGACACAAGAUGGGCUACAUUUCCUACCUAGGGCCCACCAUAAACCUAAUGGAAACAGGAUAAAAAGCCGGAUUUAGCAGUAAAUAUGGCCAGAUAACCAAAUUGAAACACGCGCUG
RNAcentral lists this ribosomal RNA (370 nucleotides) under Paroedura gracilis. RNAcentral describes it as "partial 12S ribosomal RNA". The record is from RNAcentral. Lineage: Eukaryota; Metazoa; Chordata; Lepidosauria; Squamata; Gekkonidae.